Molecule: long non-coding RNA, 554 nt
Organism: Arabidopsis lyrata subsp. lyrata
Lineage: Eukaryota; Viridiplantae; Streptophyta; Magnoliopsida; Brassicales; Brassicaceae
Exons: 4
Source: RefSeq, a predicted model, not a curated record
AACAACACCCUACAAAUCUCAGGCGAUUGUUCGAUCGACGAAUCAAUUCCAAAAUUGCCUGAUAAUCAAGCUAUUACGUCUCCGUUUAUCAUCUUUUUAUCUCAAAUUCGGAUUACUACAAAGAGAUAAUUGUUUUAGAAGAACUUUUGUCUUAUAAAAGGAACCGGUUGAAAAGAUGUAUGAUAAUGAAGAUACUACAUCUCUGUUUAUCAUCUCUUAAUCGGAAAAUCUGAAUUCUACAAAGAGAGGUGGCUUCAAAUAAUGUCGUCUUUGGAGAAGAUAGGACAACCCUAUAUAAUGUUAAAGAUUGCCAAAUCUCAACCGUAAGAAUCAAACCAAGGAUAACUGUGAAGUAAUAAAUUGUUAUGUUUUUAACAGUCCAUUUUGGAUCCAUAGGAUCCGCGUGUCAAUCCAAAAAAUUAGCCCAGGAUCCGCGUGCCUUUCUGAUCGAGUCGCCCAUGAUCCAUGGGUAUUUUGCUUUUAAAUUAUGAUUUUGCCCUUCAACGAUUUUUUUCAUUUACUCUUUGAUUGUAAUUAUUCCAAUGGCAUCUUUU